GGAGAGUUUAAUAGAGUUUGACCUCAGCAGUUCUAACCUCUAGUACAGAGAGUUUUAAUUCUUUGCCAUCAGUCUUGGGAAGGGUCACCCUGCUCCGCUCAGAGACACCUUGCUACCUCCGCAUUCUUCAUCACUGGGGAGGAGAAACAGCUCCAGUGGCGAGUCCGCUUGCUUGGUGCCUUGGGUACUUAUUUCUGUAAAAACUCAACAAGAAGGGAUAGCACGGUUAAGGCCGAGUUCAUAUGGCAAGAGUCCCAGUUCAUUUCAUUGCGGUUCUGGUCUUCUCUCCUGGCUUUCCCCCUGCAAUCAGCAGGGUCUUGGUUGUGUUUCUAUACCCUUGAUCUCUCUGGGUCAGACCCCAGCUCACCACACAGCUGGGUUGGUGGUGAGAACCUAGGUGGGCCCCUUACUGUGGCCAUGAGGCCUCGGACGCACGGAUCUUCUUAACUCCAGCUGCAUAUUGCUGUGCGUGCGCGCAUGCUCAGUUGCUUCAGUCAUGACUGGCUCUUUGCGACCCUAUGGACAGUAGCCCGCCAGGCUCCUCUGUCCAUGGGAUUCUCCAGGCAAGAAUACCAGAGUGGAUUCCCAGGCCCUCCUCCAGGGGAUCUUCCCACGGACGGAACUUGCAUCUCCUAUAUCUCCUGCAUUGCAGCUGGAAAAUUGCUAUUUGUUUUGGGCUGCGUUCAGUGAGCUGUGAACUGCCCCAGGAUUAAUUAAACCUGCCUGUUCAUCAUCUAUCGGUGUAUCAGCUGUUAGUGAUAAGAGGCCCUUGAGAAGUUGAGGAGAACGAUGGGUGAGCAAAGCAGAUGGGCAAGUGCAAGGGAAGCCUCAAAACCCAAGACUAAAGCAAAGAACAUUCUCCCUGUGUGGCAACUGGACACUGAACAUGGACUCUGGAGGGAGGUGGACAUGGCUAGCAGGUACCAGUUCGUAGUUGCGGCACGCGGGAUCCUCAGUCUUCAUGGUGUAUGCAGGAUCUUGAGUUGUGGCUUGUGAACUCUUCACUGGGGCAUGUGGGAUCUGGUUCCCUCACCAGGGAUGGAACCCAGGUCCCUCCCGUGCAUCGAGAAUAUGGAGCUUUAGCCACUGAGCCACCAGGGAAGUCCUAUUCCUAUUUUGCAGAUGAGGAAACUAAGUAUGAAGGAGGUUGACUCACUGUCAUCCUAUUUGAACUUUUUCCUCUUCACUAUAUUAAACAGGGCCUGCCAGGUUGAAAGGCAGCAUCAACACGAUUGACAGCUGAAACCCGACCCUCUGCACCACACCCAGAAGCCCCUGGACAACUUCCGGCUGCCCCAGGGUGAGGAGGGAGCUUGUGGCCCUACUCAGUGCUGGACAGGCAGGGGGAAAGCUGGACCAUCUUUGCAGUUCAGAUCAUCACCUGGAAGGGUCUGUGGCAUCGUGCCCUGGCCUCGCAUCACAAAGGUCUUUGCGCGAUGUUCUGGCUUCCAGGCUGUGUGGCUAAGUGUCGGGAAAUGAAGGCACAUGGAGGCCGAAGGAGGGUCUCACGGCUGCUCUGAGUUCCAGCAGCUGAGAAGCCUGUGGCUGGUGGCCUUGCCUGAUGGCCCUUUAUGAUGUCAUAGUCUGGCCCAUGUUAGACUCUCCACAAAUGUUAUUGGAUGGAUAGAUGGAUGGACAGAUGGUAUUACUUAAACCAAGCAGCUGUACUCUCUCUUGCUUGAUAAGUGAUUAAUAAAAUAAGACAUUCCCAGUCUUUCUUUUUAUUAAUAAGUCAAAAAGGGAAAGGUGAAAGUGCAUAUAUAUGUAUGUAUAACUGAUUCACUUUGCUGCACAUCUGAAACUAACAGCAUUGUAAGUCAACUAUAUACCAGUAUAAGAUUAAAAGAAGGAAAGUUGAAUGUAUGCAAAUGUGUGGGAGUAUAUACAUGUGGGAGAGUGUAUAAGUAUGUAUGUGAGUGUGUGUGUGUGUGUGCUUUUGUGUGAACACAUGUACCUGCCUAAGUACUUGUGACUCUGGGUACAUGUGAUUGUGUGUACAUAUAUGUGAGAGUGUCCUUGGGUGUGUCUGUGUAUGGGGUGUGUGAGUGUGAGUUUGUGAAUGUCUGAGCGUGAGGAUAUGCACGACAGUCACCUACACACGAACCUUCAAACUGCAAACUUUGAAAGAUACGAAUGUGCAUCUAGUUCCAGCAAGGAGCCAGAACCCAUGCCGUCAGCAUCAGGCGUGAGUGAACUCUUAGCUUGCCCUCCGUCUCCUGUUGCUGACGGCCCUUCAGCUCUACCGUCUCCCACCUCCUCUCCCUCCUCCAUCAGGAACUCUUCUGGCCUGUUCACUCCGUGCCAGCCCCUGUGUGCCAGCUAUUGUACUGUGCUUUACUUUCAUAGGUCCUCUAAGAUUAAAAAUGUUUUCCUAAUUUUCUGUUUGUUUUUUAUGAAUUAUUUAUGUGAAAAGUAUUAUAAACCUAUUGC
This is a long non-coding RNA of Bos taurus (domestic cattle), 2430 nucleotides long. The record is from Ensembl. NCBI's taxonomy places the organism in Eukaryota, Metazoa, Chordata, Mammalia, Artiodactyla, Bovidae.